Molecule: unclassified non-coding RNA, 1928 nt
Filed under: Hevea brasiliensis (rubber tree)
Lineage: Eukaryota; Viridiplantae; Streptophyta; Magnoliopsida; Malpighiales; Euphorbiaceae
Source: RNAcentral
GCGGCUGCGGCGACUUCAACCUGCACCAUCUCCCUCCUCCCCGCCUCCCACCGUGGAUCCGCUUCCCCCGCCGCCCACUCCCUCUCCUUCGGCCUCUCCCCCGCUGCUUCCAAGCCUCUCCGAUGCGCCGCCACCGGCGGCGGCGCUGUCGGCGCCCGUAUGGUCUCCGUCCCCGCCGUCAGCAAGCCGCCGAUAUCGCUCGAUUUUGAGACAUCGGUGUUCAAGAAGGAGAAGGUCUCCCUCGCCGGUCACGAUGAGUAUAUCGUGAGGGGAGGGCGGGAUCUGUUCAACUUGCUGCCGGAGGCGUUUAAGGGGGUUAAGCAGAUCGGAGUCAUUGGCUGGGGAUCGCAGGGUCCUGCACAGGCACAGAAUUUGAGGGAUUCACUUGCUGUUGCACAAUCAGAUAUUGUGGUGAAGAUUGGUCUGAGAAAAGGUUCUCGAUCUUUUGAGGAAGCACGUGCUGCUGGGUUUACUGAAGAAACUGGAACAUUGGGCGAUAUCUGGGAAACCAUUUCAAGCAGUGACCUAGUGCUGUUAUUGAUUUCAGAUGCUGCUCAGGCUGACAAUUAUGAGAAGAUAUUCUCUCUCAUGAAGCCUAACAGUAUCCUGGGGCUAUCACAUGGUUUCCUUCUUGGACACCUGCAAACCCUUGGCCUUGAUUUCCCCAAGGGCAUCAGUGUAAUUGCUGUAUGCCCAAAGGGAAUGGGUCCAUCUGUGAGGAGGCUGUAUGUUCAAGGCAAAGAGAUAAACGGGGCAGGGAUCAAUUCCAGUUUUGCCGUUCAUCAGGAUGUUGAUGGCAGAGCUACAGAUGUUGCCCUGGGCUGGUCCGUCGCUCUUGGUUCACCGUUUACUUUUGCAACUACCCUAGAACAGGAAUACAAGAGUGACAUUUUUGGGGAGCGUGGUAUUUUACUUGGUGCUGUGCAUGGAAUUGUGGAGGCCUUGUUUAGAAGGUACACUGAAAACGGAAUGAGCGAGGAGUUGGCCUAUAAGAACACUGUUGAAUGUGUAACAGGAAUUGUAUCCAGGAUGAUUUCGACAAAGGGCAUGCUCGCCGUGUACAACUCCUUGUCUGAGGAUGGUAAGAAGGAAUUUGAUGCUGCAUAUAGUGCAUCCUACUACCCUAGCAUGGACAUUCUGUACGAGUGCUACGAGGAUGUGGCCUGUGGAAGUGAGAUUCGCAGUGUUGUUUUGGCUGGACGCCGCUUUUAUGAAAAGGAAGGCCUCCCUGCAUUCCCAAUGGGCAAAAUUGAUCAGACAAGAAUGUGGAAAGUUGGCGAGAGAGUCCGUGCGAACCGACCUGAAGGAGAUUUGGGACCGCUGCAUCCAUUUACUGCUGGUGUUUUCGUGGCAUUAAUGAUGGCUCAGAUUGAGGUCCUAAGGAAGAAGGGUCAUUCCUACUCGGAGAUCAUCAACGAGAGUGUGAUUGAGUCAGUGGAUUCCCUGAACCCUUUUAUGCAUGCUCGAGGGGUUUCGUUUAUGGUUGAUAAUUGUUCCACGACUGCCCGUUUGGGUUCGAGGAAGUGGGCACCGCGUUUCGAUUACAUUCUCACCCAGCAGGCGUUUGUGGCUGUGGACAAUAAUGCUGCAAUCAAUGAAGACCUUCGGAGCAGUUUCUUGGUUGAUCCGAUUCAUGGUGCCAUCGAAGUAUGUGCGCAGCUGAGGCCUACUGUGGACAUAUCAGUGCCUGCUAAUGCUGAUUUCGUGCGCCCGGAGUUGCGCCAAUCGAGCAACUAAGGUUAGUAUCAGGGUGGUGGUUGAGUAUUGUUGUCUGUCUUUGUCUUUGCUUCGACAAGUCAUGCUUUAGCGAGUUAUUUAGAGUAAUGAGGUUGCAUGUCUUUUAAGUGAAAACAAUGCUAGCGAGAAUAAUUGGUAUUUAUAUGUGCAAGUUAUCUUUGCUUGUUAUUCUGAAUCUUUGGAUGUCCUAU